Molecule: non-coding RNA, 1667 nt
Organism: Cucurbita pepo subsp. pepo (vegetable marrow)
Lineage: Eukaryota; Viridiplantae; Streptophyta; Magnoliopsida; Cucurbitales; Cucurbitaceae
Source: RefSeq, a predicted model, not a curated record
CUCUCUGGUAUUCCCAUUCCUUCAAUGUCCAUAAAUACGCUCAGCCUCUCAAUUCUUCUCUCACAAGUCACAACCCAUUUCCUCAUUUUCUAAUUUUGUGAUCUUUUCUUCAAGCUUCUUCUCCUCUGUCUUCAAAGAUUCUUGCAGGCACAACGCGGGAUCUUCACUUUAGAUUUGCAGAGUAGCAACAAUGGCGUCCCAGAACAGAGUAGAUCUGGACGGCAACCCGAUUAAGCCGAUCACCAUUUGCAUGAUUGGCGCUGGUGGGUUCAUUGGCUCUCACCUUUGUGAGAAGCUCAUGGCUGAAACCCCUCACAAGGUGCUUGCUCUUGAUGUUUACAAUGACAAGAUUAAGCACCUUCUUGAGCCCGAUUCCCUCCCCUGGGCCGAUCGCAUCCAGUUCCACCGUCUCAAUAUCAAGAAUGAUUCCAGGCUCGAGAGUCUCGUUCGAAUGGCAGAUCUGACGAUAAAUCUUGCUGCGAUCUGUACACCGGCGGACUACAAUACGCGACCACUUGACACCAUUUACAGCAAUUUCAUCGACGCAAUUCCUGUGGUUAAAUACUGUUCUGGCAACAACAAGCGUCUCAUUCACUUUUCAACUUGCGAAGUCUAUGGUAAGACAAUUGGAAGCUUUCUUCCAAAAGAUAGCCCUCUUCGUCAGGAUCCGGCAUAUUAUGUUUUGAGUGAGGAUGCUUCUCCUUGCAUCUUUGGUCCCAUUGAGAAGCAAAGAUGGUCGUAUGCAUGUGCGAAACAAUUGAUUGAGAGGCUGAUUUAUGCUGAGGGUGCUGAAAAUGGGAUGGAUUUUACAAUUGUAAGACCAUUCAACUGGAUCGGACCAAGGAUGGACUUCAUUCCUGGCAUCGAUGGCCCAAGUGAGGGCGUUCCCAGGGUUCUAGCUUGCUUUAGCAAUAAUCUCCUUCGACACGAGCCACUGAAGCUUGUGGAUGGCGGUCAAUCCCAAAGAACAUUCAUAUACAUUAAGGAUGCCAUUGAAGCAGUUCUUUUGAUGAUUGAAAACCCAGCAAGGGCCAAUGGCCAUAUCUUCAAUGUGGGCAACCCCAACAAUGAAGUAACAGUGAAGCAGCUUGCUGAAAUGAUGACCAAGGUUUAUGCAAAGGUAAGCGGGGAACCUUCGCUCGAGACCCCGACAAUCGAUAUAAGCUCUGAAGAAUUCUAUGGCGUGGGCUAUGACGACAGUGAUAAGAGAAUUCCUGACAUGACCAUCAUCAACAAGCAACUCGGUUGGAACCCGAAGACAUCACUCUGGGACCUGCUGGAAUCGACUUUGACCUACCAACAUCGAACAUAUGCGGAGGCAGUGAAGCAGGCAACAUCAAAACCAGCUGCAUCUAGCUAGGUAGAGAGUGUGACGAUGAUGCUGUUACAGUGAAGGAGUUUUAUUUGUAUUCUUUUCUGAGAUUAUAAGUAUAUGUUGAUGGAUGAGAAUCCCACAUUGGUAACAUUUUUUCUUUUUUUUUUUGUUCUUGAUUUUGAAAUGUGUUAGUUGUGGUGGGGAUAGGCGAAGAAUAUGUGUAGUAGUAGCAGUGUAAGCCCUGUUGGGGGGAAGACUCGGUGUUAUAUGUAAAAUGAUUGAAUUUCAAGCUUGGACUACUACAAAGUCCAAGGGAGAAUACAACUAAAAUCUACUACGUUUCUGUCUUUUA